This 353-nucleotide transfer-messenger RNA is filed under the name Paludihabitans sp. MB14-C6. Its description in RNAcentral is "Paludicola sp. MB14-C6 transfer-messenger RNA". It matches the Rfam family "transfer-messenger RNA". From Rfam's summary of the family: Bacterial tmRNA, also known as 10Sa RNA or SsrA, is named for its dual tRNA and mRNA-like properties. The record is from RNAcentral. Lineage: Bacteria; Bacillati; Bacillota; Clostridia; Eubacteriales; Oscillospiraceae.
GGGGGCGUAAAGGUUUCGACGGGGAUUAAAAACCAAUGUAAGCGAGUAGAGUGGGCGAAAACUCUUUAAUCGUCGCAGUUUAUAAAUUAAACGCUAACAAUAAUAAAUUAGCUUACGCAGCUUAAGCCUGCGUCGUCUUCGUUGUGAAGGACCACGAGCAUAACAAGGCGUCAAAUUAGUGGUGAACGUGUUUCGAGAGUUACCUUGUAUCGAUUCAUGUAUUAAAGGUUACUGAAUCUACAAGCCUGCUAUUCGGCGUGUAGAAGAGGGAAUGUCAAAAGAAUCAGCUACACUCGUAGAAAGCGUUGGGGACGAGUUUUCGGACAGGGGUUCAACUCCCCUCGCCUCCACCA